Molecule: long non-coding RNA, 1884 nt
Filed under: Mytilus galloprovincialis (Mediterranean mussel)
Lineage: Eukaryota; Metazoa; Mollusca; Bivalvia; Mytilida; Mytilidae
Source: RNAcentral
GGGGGAAUAGACAUAAGACUGACACAGACAUUUAUAAACAGGAUUACAGGUCUUCUACCUUCUAAAAUAUAAAGCUAGAUAGUAAUCCCUAUGUCUCAUUUUUCUGUGACUUUCUUUGCAGGUAAGACAAAAAUAUAAAAGAACAGUAUUCCAAUGUUCCAUACAAAUGCACAUAUUUUAUGUUUUUAAAGAAAAUCUUUACAUUAAACACAUGUGAAAAUGUUCACUCUCUUUCAUAUAUGUUCCUAAUAUCUAACUUUCUGAUUAACAAACUCAUCCAAUGUUUUGAUAAAAGUUUUACAAGAUCAGUGGCAGAUCCAGAAGUGAAGAGAGCGCUUGCCUACCUUUUGAUCAGCACAAAUAAGUUUAUAAAGUCAAUACAAUCAACAUUAACAUACACAAAGCUGGUUUCAUAUUUUCUUUAAUAAACACUUUUAACAUGAUGAAAUUUCAUAUCUUAUCAACUUACACAUAUACAUGUACAUAAGCAAUCAGCAGAGAACAAAAUGGAUUUCAAUUGAACAUUUCUUUGAUUCAAAUUAGGGCAUUAUGAUAAUGGCUAUAUACAACAAAUAAGUAUUUUUAUAACUUUUAUGGAUUUAGUUUACCUACAGUUUGAUUUGAUAGUUCUAAAAUGCAAGUAUGCAAUACACUUCAAAUUAUUUUCAACUAACUUUAAAGUUGUGAAUCCCUUUCCUUUGAUAAAAAAAAAUUUGAUUAGCUGUGGUUAAUUUCUUAUUUGAACCUCAUUUUAUAGUUUUCCCAGAAUAUUUUCCAAACUUCUGUUAACUCGGAUUAUCAUUUGUGUAUUAAUUAUUGUAAAUAUUAGUGUAAACCAACACUAAUUCUGGAAAUGCUGAACAUGUAAUCAGAAUGCAUUAUACCAAGUUCUAUAUAGUACUAUGAUAGCAUCAUUUUUUCUGUACAAAUACAAAAUUAAAAAAAAUUCUGAGUUUACAGUGUAACAGUGUCAUGACUGAUUGAAAAAAGAAAAGUUUUGAUAAAAAAAAAUUCUGAAGUAAAAUACACAAACUUAAUCCUGAAUAUUUUUUUAUUAUGAACCCUAACCAGCAUCUGCAAAAUAUUUUUAUUAGUAUUUGUAUAUUGACUUUUCUGAAUAACAAAAGCUCAGUUGAGAACAUAAUAGAUAUAUACAUGAUAUAUAUUGGUUUUCACUAAAAAAAAAAGACAUAAACUAGUUUUUCCAGUUCAUAUAGCAUAAAAAAACACUCCAAAAACAUUAAAUAAAAACAUUAAAAAAUUGCCUAGAUAUCUUAAGUACAUAACAAACAACCUAGAACUGUUGUGUACCAACCAUUAAAAAAUCUACAUUCAACAAUUGGGGCAUGAAGUAAAACGGUAAAAGAAUUACUCUUAUUAUGAUCCCAUGAGUUCAAUGUGUGUCCCAAAAGAGGAGUUGAUAAAUAUGUUGUAUGACAGUGUGUAGCUUUCAAUCCACAUUGUAAGUAUUGACUUUUUAUACAUGCUUAAACUUAAGUUUUCUCAAACUGACCAAAACAUAGCUGUGAAGAUAGCUAAUCUCGGUUGAUUUCUCGGUUGUUUACAAGAAAAUUAUAUAUUUGUAGAUUUGUUCAGACUUUUUUCUGUUGAACUUGAUCAAACGUAAGUGUUUAAAAGGAUAUCCUUACCACAUAUGAUCAUAAAUGAUUUCAUUAAGUACUACAACCUAAUAAUGUCAUCAAAAUAAACUAAUAAUUCAAUAUAUGACAAUCUUAUAUACACCAGCUUACCAGAAAUCAAGUAAUACCAUUCAAACAUAAAAAUCUAUUCCAUUAUUUAUCCUUUUUGAUACAAUAAAAGCAAAAAUAAACUUGCACCAUAUUUGUAUUUUUCCUUUUUGAUACAAUAAAAGCAAAAUAAACU